UGGGGAAUUUUGGACAAUGGGCGAAAGCCUGAUCCAGCAAUGCCGCGUGUGUGAAGAAGGCCUUCGGGUUGUAAAGCACUUUUGUCCGGAAAGAAAUCCUUGGCUCUAAUACAGUCGGGGGAUGACGGUACCGGAAGAAUAAGCACCGGCUAACUACGUGCCAGCAGCCGCGGUAAUACGUAGGGUGCAAGCGUUAAUCGGAACUACUGGGCGUAAAGCGUGCGCAGGCGGUUUGCUAAGACCGAUGUGAAAUCCCCGGGCUCAACCUGGGAACUGCAUUGGUGACUGGCAGGCUAGAGUAUGGCAGAGGGGGGUAGAAUUCCACGUGUAGCAGUGAAAUGCGUAGAGAUGUGGAGGAAUACCGAUGGCGAAGGCAGCCCCCUGGGCCAAUGCUGACGCUCAUGCACGAAAGCGUGGGGAGCAAACAGGAUUAGAUACCCUGGUAGUCCACGCCCUAAACGAUGUCAACUAGUUGUUGGGGAUUCAUUUCCUUAGUAACGUAGCUAACGCGUGAAGUUGACCGCCUGGGGAGUACGGUCGCAAGAUUAAAACUCAAAUGAAUUGACGGGGUCAUAGCUGUUUCCU
This 585-nucleotide ribosomal RNA is filed under the name uncultured bacterium. RNAcentral describes it as "partial 16S ribosomal RNA". It matches the Rfam family "Bacterial small subunit ribosomal RNA", at positions 355 to 1375 of the family's 1533-position model. The record is from RNAcentral.